GGUCGAUGAUGAUAAUGCAGAAGUGUUCUGAGGGCACAGGGGAAUUACACCCCAUUACCCUUGUGGCUCCCAGCAGUCCCUGUUCUUUCAUGCCAGAGUAGAGCUAUGAUUGAGGAGAAGGGAUUGCUGACAGUCUGGGAUUAAUUCAGUUCCAGUUCUCCACAGUGAAGGGAGUUGUGGCACCAAAUGUAAUCCGACAGAUGUGGCUGAGAGGAGCUCAUGGUCAUGGGGUGCUGUCAUUUGUCAUGCGUGAUCAAAGGUUUUCAAGCUGAGACC
RNAcentral lists this small nucleolar RNA (276 nucleotides) under Acanthisitta chloris (rifleman). Its description in RNAcentral is "Small Cajal body specific RNA 6". It matches the Rfam family "Small Cajal body specific RNA 6". From Rfam's summary of the family: U88 is small Cajal body specific RNA (scaRNA). scaRNAs are a novel class of small nuclear RNAs which localise to the Cajal bodies. U88 is found associated with both fibrillarin and Gar1p and co-localises with coilin in Cajal bodies. U88 scaRNA is composed of both an H/ACA box and a C/D box conserved domains domains and is predicted to guide 2'-O-methylation of residue U41 of the U5 snRNA. Lineage: Eukaryota; Metazoa; Chordata; Aves; Passeriformes; Acanthisittidae. The record is from Rfam by way of RNAcentral.